CAGCAGCCACGGGAAUACAGAGGGUGCGAGCGUUAAUCGGAUUUACUGGGCGUAAAGCGUGCGUAGGCGGCUUCUUAAGUCGGAUGUGAAAUCCCUGAGCUUAAAUUAGGAAUUGCAUUCGAUACUGGGAAGCUAGAGUAUGGGAGAGGAUGGUAGAAUUCCAGGUGUAGCGGUGAAAUGCGUAGAGAUCUGGAGGAAUACCGAUGGCGAAGGCAGCCAUCUGGCCUAAUACUGACGCUGAGGUACGAAAGCAUGGGGAGCAAACAGGAUUAGAUACCCCGGUAGUCCCUGUCUCUUAUAC
RNAcentral lists this ribosomal RNA (301 nucleotides) under uncultured bacterium. RNAcentral describes it as "partial 16S ribosomal RNA". It matches the Rfam family "Bacterial small subunit ribosomal RNA", at positions 509 to 807 of the family's 1533-position model. The record is from RNAcentral.